Molecule: long non-coding RNA, 777 nt
Filed under: Brachypodium distachyon (stiff brome)
Lineage: Eukaryota; Viridiplantae; Streptophyta; Magnoliopsida; Poales; Poaceae
Description: long non-coding RNA (BDIS_LNC004102)
Source: RNAcentral
GCGAUUUUGUUUGCUGUUUCAAAUAAAAUCAAAUAUGAAUUCACCUAACAAAUGUCGAAUGGUGAGCAUAUUUUGAACCGCAGUACGAAAUUCAAUUAAGAUCAGAAAAACACGGAACCUUCGUGGAAAGUCAUGAAUCGAGUACUAGUUGGUGUGUAAAAAAAUGAGAACAUUCUAAUUUGGUCGAAAAAACGGAGUUCCUUACGGGAGAAGCGUUUGGGUGGUUACAUCAAAGGUUAUUUCGGAAGGGGGUUUUUUUUUUUUGACCUCCCCGGAAUUGGCCCAAAUUUGUUUUUCCAGGCACGUGCAUCUUAACCACCACUACCUAUUUAGUUUCUUGUUUUGAAUAAAAUCAAAUAUGAAUUCACGCAAGAAAUGUCGAAUGCUGAGCAAAAUUUGAACAGCCGUACGAAAUUCAAAUAAGAUUAAAAAACCACGAAACCUUCAUGGAGUGUAACGAACCAACUGCUAGUUGAUGUUUAAAACAAUAAGGACAUUCCAAGUUUGUCGAAAAAAGGGAGUUUUUUUUACUAUAGAAGCGUUUGGGUUACAUCAUACAUCAUUUCGGUAGGGGGUCCGCUUAGGGUUUAGGAUUAGGGUUUAGGGUCCCGAUGUGAGUUUUGUGACCACGGGUACACGAUGUCGUGUAGUUCCGGUAUCAUGCAGAAAAACCACCGUUUUGGCCGUUUUCGUGGAUUAUAGCCCACGUUUUUUUGGUCCCGGACCGAUUUUCCGAGGUAGUGACCCCGGAUACACGAUUUCAGGCAAUUUCAGGGC